This 738-nucleotide long non-coding RNA is filed under the name Hordeum vulgare. RNAcentral describes it as "long non-coding RNA (HVUL_LNC002422)". Lineage: Eukaryota; Viridiplantae; Streptophyta; Magnoliopsida; Poales; Poaceae. The record is from RNAcentral.
AUUUUUUUUUUUUUUUUUUUUGAGUGUAGAGUAGAUCAAUUGCUGAACUAGUGAAUUAUUUACAACUUUUUGAUGCAAACCAAAGAAGAUGUCAAGAGACGGCACAUGAACACGCGGCUCGAUUAUUACCGUUAAAUAAACAAAACACAGCCUUGGUUAUUUAGUAUUUACAGCCGGAAUCCGAAGCGGAGGAAGAAGAAGCAGAGCCUGGCGAGGACGACGAGGGACUCGAUCACCCACAGCAGCCGGAACACCACGCUCUCGUACAAUAGCCGGAGGAGGUGGACGCGCGGCAGCCGUCUCCUCUGCCGCCGCAGCGCCGUGGUCAGCGCGCGAACGCGCAGCAGCGACCCGCCACCGGCCGCCGCCGUCAUCUUCUUCCGUAUCCAAUCCCGCUUCCUCCCGCCGGCCAUCGGCGGCAAUCGAUCUUCAGGUCGCCGGUGGUCGCACGUUCGCCUCCGUUUCACUGUUUGGAUGGUACUAACACGGUUGCUCUGUGGACUCUGGGAUGUCUCGAGUCUUUUAUGCUAGAGUGCGACGCGGUUUUGCACUUGCAUCAACACAAUUUUUAACAUCUGAAUAUGGAUUGAGCCGGCAGAUUGACCUGACUGGAUGUGCUGGUUCAAAACUGAGAUGGUCAAGAGCGUAAAAGUCACCACCCGGCAACUUCGUGGAGGAUCAUGCGCCAGAGCCGUGUCAUGUGCAGUGACGAUCUCUCGUGGAGGUUUUGGCUUUGAC